GAUGAACGCUGGCGGCGUGCCUAAUACAUGCAAGUCGAGCGAACAGACGAGGAGCUUGCUCCUCUGACGUUAGCGGCGGACGGGUGAGUAACACGUGGAUAACCUACCUAUAAGACUGGGAUAACUUCGGGAAACCGGAGCUAAUACCGGAUAAUAUAUUGAACCGCAUGGUUCAAUAGUGAAAGACGGUUUUGCUGUCACUUAUAGAUGUAUCCGCGCCGCAUUAGCUAGUUGGUAAGGUAACGGCUUACCAAGGCGACGAUGUGUAGCCGACCUGAGAGGGUGAUCGGACACACUGGAACUGAGACACGGUCCAGACUCCUACGGGAGGCAGCAGUAGGGAAUCUUCCGCAAUGGGCGAAAGCCUGACGGAGCAACGCCGCGUGAGUGAUGAAGGUCUUCGGAUCGUAAAACUCUGUUAUUAGGGAAGAACAAAUGUGUAAGUAACUAUGCACGUCUUGACGGUACCUAAUCAGAAAGCCACGGCUAACUACGUG
RNAcentral lists this ribosomal RNA (497 nucleotides) under uncultured bacterium. Its description in RNAcentral is "partial 16S ribosomal RNA". It matches the Rfam family "Bacterial small subunit ribosomal RNA", at positions 28 to 507 of the family's 1533-position model. The record is from RNAcentral.